RNAcentral lists this ribosomal RNA (404 nucleotides) under uncultured microorganism. RNAcentral describes it as "bacterial SSU rRNA". It matches the Rfam family "Bacterial small subunit ribosomal RNA", at positions 346 to 795 of the family's 1533-position model. The record is from RNAcentral.
GGGCAGCAAGUGGGAAUAUUGCGCAAUGGGCGAAAGCCUGACGCAGCGACGCCGCGUGAAGGAUGAAGGCCUUCGGGUUGUAAACUUACAUUAAAAAGCAUCGGCUAACUACGUGCCAGCAGCAGCGGUAAUACGUAGGAUGCAAACAUUGUCCGGAUUUAUUGGGCGUAAAGAGUUCUGUAGGCGGGGUAAAAAGUUGUCUGUUAAAGACCUUGGCUUAACCAAGGAAGUGCAUGCAAUACUAUUACCCUAGAGUUACCUAGGGGUAGACGGAACAUAUGGAGUAGGAGUGAAAUCCGUUGAUACCAUAUGGAACACCAAAGGCGAAGGCAGUCUACUGGGGGUUAACUGACGCUAAGAGACGAAAGCGUGGGGAGCAAAACGGAUUAGAUACCCCGGUAGUC